CAAUAGCGUAUAUUAAAGUUGUUGCAGUUAAAAAGCUCGUAGUUGAAUUUUUGCUUGCCGCCGAUGUCGGAACUUCCGUACGUUCGGCGGCGUGCAUCCUUGGGUGGAACCUGUGUGGCAUUAGGUUGUCGUGCAGGGGAUGCUCAUCGUUUACUGUGAAAAAAUUAGAGUGUUCAAAGCAGGCUUAUGCCGUUGAAUAUAUUAGCAUGGAAUAAUAAGAUAGGACCUUGGUACUAUUUUGUUGGUUUGCGCACCGAGGUAAUGAUUAACAGGGACAGUUGGGGGUAUUCGUAUUCCAUUGUCAGAGGUGAAAUUCUUGGAUUUCUGGAAGACGAACUACUGCGAAANCANNNACCAAGGAUGUUUNCAUNGA
Molecule: ribosomal RNA, 373 nt
Filed under: uncultured eukaryote
Lineage: Eukaryota
Description: partial 18S ribosomal RNA
Rfam family: Eukaryotic small subunit ribosomal RNA
Source: RNAcentral